Gasterosteus aculeatus aculeatus (three-spined stickleback) is the source of this 1441-nucleotide long non-coding RNA. The record is from Ensembl. Lineage: Eukaryota; Metazoa; Chordata; Actinopteri; Perciformes; Gasterosteidae.
CAAUCAAUCAAAUUGUAUUAUCUAGGCGUUAACUAGUUAUUACACACAUGGACUGAAAGAGGAAGCCCAAAAUGACUCCCAGACUUGGUUGGAUGAUGGCAAACACUGUACCAUUCAGUUUGAAGACAACCCUCCGCCCCCCUUAUGGACGACCUGAAACCCUCCCGAGUGUCACUUUGAGUUGAUGCUUUAACCCGUGAAAGAGGCUCACUGUGCGCAGCGUCGCUGUCGGAUCAGACGUCCGAAUGCCUUUUGAACAGGUAGCUUCGUGGUGAAUGACAUUUUGCGUGAUGACUGAAUAGAGCAAUAAACUGAACUUCAGUGCCCUCCUUACUAUUCAAUCAGUUUGAUUCAAACCCAGUCAUGAUUUUGUUUUCUAUUGGAAUCAUUUAAAAUUGUAUGUGUCAGGAAAAAAUGAUACUGAGAAAAUAGGCAAUAAACUCACGUCUUUUGAAAGUGUGAAUGGUUCACAUGCAGAUGUUGGAGGGCCUUCUCUCCCCGGUGACCAUCAAGUGAUGUGAAAGGUGCCGCUGUCAUCGGAUAGUUGGAUCUCUCGGUUAGUGCCACGGCUGUGGCUUAGCUACAUUAUCUCCUCGUGCCUGUCCACGACCGCGUUGCAGCUUCGCUCCUCCUCGACAGGUUCUACUCACCACUGCUCAUGAGAUUGCACGCGGAUGUACAUCCACAUUCUAUUGUCAGGGUUAGAAAAUGAACAAAAGGCGGUGCAGCAGCUGCAGCGUCAGGUUUUAUGUCCUUGCACCUUUUAACGAUUCUACUGGGAGGAGGUGUUUUUACUGCAAAUUAUUAUUCUAAUCAUUAUGAAGACAUUGGUAAAAAGGGCCCCUAAAGUGAAAGAAUGUCAUUUGAGAUAUAACGUACUCAAGACGCGACACUUUUGUAUAUGUAUUUAUCGUUGUGUUCUCUCACGGUUGGACGGACGAUACUUGGAUUUUGGAGCCCAAUGCUCACAAAGUCGCUAAAACCGGAUUUUAUUUAAAUCGCUGCAACGGCAGAUCCAUUUGGAAAUGUUAAACUGGCAAAAGUAGAGCUUACAUUUUUGACAGUGUGAAGCCUCGUCUUAAGACGUGAGAGUACGGUUGGGACUGCCUGGUAGGCGAGCUGAUGCAGCUGACACACACCGUACGCCACGUGGGCAAAGGGAAUGUCCUGCAGCGGGGAGGCCUGUGUAGAGCUUCAUCUGCUGCUGCACCCAUGCAAGAGCUCCACCCACUAACAACCAGAGCAUGCUGAGGAACAACCCCGGGAUGUGUUAGGUAGACUUACUUUGUCAUUUGCAGAACCUCAAUGUUAUUUUGUGUUUGGUUUUUUUCUUCAUUUUAAUCAUUUUUUGGGGGUUUGGAAAAAAAGUUGUUUAUUGUGAUUACUUGUUAAUUAGUGAUGUGAUUGUUGAACAUGAAAUAAAAAUGGACUAAAACUCUCA